CUACGGGUUGCACCAGUGGGGGAUAUUGCACAAUGGGCGAAAGCCUGAUGCAGCAACGCCGCGUGAAGGAAGACGGUUUUCGGAUUGUAAACUUCUAUCAGCAGGGAAGAAAAUGACUGUACCUGACUAAGAAGCCCCGGCUAACUACGUGCCAGCAGCCGCGGUAAUACGUAGGGGGCAAGCGUUAUCCGGAUUUACUGGGUGUAAAGGGUACGUAGGCGGUUGAUUAAGUCAGAUGUGAAAGCCCGGGGCUCAACCCCGGGACUGCAUUUGAAACUGGUGAACUAGAGUACAGGAGAGGUAAGUGGAAUUCCUAGUGUAGCGGUGAAAUGCGUAGAUAUUAGGAAGAACACCAGUGGCGAAGGCGGCUUACUGGACUGUAACUGACGCUGAGGUACGAAAGCGUGGGGAGCGAACAGGAUUAGAUACCCGGGUAGUC
This 439-nucleotide ribosomal RNA is filed under the name uncultured bacterium. Its description in RNAcentral is "partial 16S ribosomal RNA". It matches the Rfam family "Bacterial small subunit ribosomal RNA", at positions 339 to 795 of the family's 1533-position model. The record is from RNAcentral.